CUCACUCCCAAAAAAUGAUUGUUGGUUACCCGCUUGUUAGUCCCUCUUCUUCUCAUCUCCGUCGCGCGCCCUAAGUCCCCCAAAUAAAAGUUUGUACUUAAUUCUUUUUCCCUUUUAAUCUCAAAAUUCCAUGAGUUCUUUAGCCCCAACAUCUCGACAAAAGGGUUUUUCGAUCUAUACCAAAAGACCACAGGGAUUGAUCUAUGGAAUUCCCAUUAUGAGAGAAUGGAAGAAAAUUAUAGGAGGUUGAAGGAGAUAAACAAGAAAAUGAGAAGGGAGAUUAGAGAAUGGGGGGAGACUUAAUGAACUUAACAUUAAGGAACUGGAAGCUCUUGAAGCUAAAAUGGAUUCUUCUUUGCUAGCUAUACGUGAGAGGAAGCCUCCAUUGAAAAGACUCCUGACAAUGUUUCUAGGGUACCAUAUCAUCAAAACUCGAACAGACAAGCACAAGAAGAAGGUAAGGAAUUUGGAGGAAAGGCAUGCAAAUCUUGUCAUGGACUUGGUAAGAAUCUUUAGGGGUUGAAUUUCAGAGUAAUUUGUAAUUUUCUUAAUGUUAUGAUCAUCCAAUAGUUGAAAGAAAUUUAGGGUAAAGGAGGUUUCGCACUUUUUUAAUAUAGAAAUUUGUUUUUUUUUUCAAUUUGGUACACUUAUUUAGUAAAGUUAUAUAUUUUGGUUCUAAAAAGUAGUGAUAUAAAUUUUUAGUGUUUAAUUCUAGUUUUAAGGUUAAUUCAAUGAAAGUUAAUUAUUAGUAUUACUAGUGUUGAAUUUUCAUGAUUUUGUUAAUAAAAUAGAUUUAAUUUUAAUUGUGAAUUUGUUUGAUUUUGUGUUUAAUUUGUUAAAUAAGUAUGAUGCUUGUGUUAUUUUGGGUUAUAGAGUUGAAUUGAAGAAAGCUAAUUGUUGAUAUUAUUAGUUAAGGGUAAAUAUAAUUUUUUGUAGUUGAAUUUGGAGUCAAUGUUCAAAUUGAUACUUAUGACUAAAAAAUGUCAGAUAUGACCAGCACCAAAUAGGGCACAGCCUUUUCAACUCCAAUCUUCUCAUUUACCAUCUCAGCGCAUUGCUUCUCUUUGUGGCAGUGAUUUUUUGUUAGACAUUUUGUGUUUUUCGCUAGUUGCUGCAUUGUACCUAAAGUGCAAUUGGCCUUACAAUUCCGCUUUAUGUUUUGUUUAGUUGAGAAGCUAUAAGAAAACUAACGAACUUGGAAUCUUGCAACACAAAUUCCAAACUUAGUCUCUACAUUUUUAAGCUAUGCAACUAAAAAAACUUAUUUGUGCUAAUCAUGCUAUGAGAUUGUGCGACACGAUUAGACAUUAUACCGGCAGUUGCCUUGCUUCUAAGCCUUUCUGUUGGUAAGUAAACAGUAACAAGUUUAUCAAGUAUUCCUUGACCAUGUUGCACUCUCAGAGAAUGUGAAGAAAAAUUGCAGCUUCUGAACUCACCUGAUGAACGGCACCGUAGGCUACAUGAAAUUCCUGACAUACACCGUGAUCCAAAUAGGAAUCUAUUUUCUGAUGAUGCUUCUGGAGAGUUGGAUGAGAAGAAAAAAGGAAUGGAGCUAUCUGUAAAUAGUAUCGAGGCAGAUAAAAUAUGGCACUAUCAAGACCCACUUGGGAAAAUCCAAGGGCCAUUCGCUAUGGCAAUUUUACGCGGAUGGAGCAGUAGUGGUCAUUUUCUUCCUGAAUUGAGAGUAUGGAGAGUAAGUGAAAAGAAAGAAAACUCUAUUCUUUUAACUGACACUUUGGUUGGGCAGUACAGCCAACUGCAACAAUUGGUUCAGCACAGUCACAUGCCAACUGAGGAUGCAAGUAUGGUCAUUGAGGAUGGAUGUUGGAACAAGGAUGAAGAUGCUAGGGAGAGUAAGGAUCAGAAGGUGAACCAGAUGGAAAGUAAACAGCCCAAAGGAAGCUUGAACCUGAUGCAGAAUGAUACAAGUGGUCAUUGCCAAAAUCUGGAAGUUGUUUAUAUUUCAUGUGAAUUUGGGCAGUAGAGUAUACUUAUGGUUUACUUGUAAUUUAGGAUUAAUUAUGCUUUAUAUGAGGAACUUGAUGCUGGGGAUAUGGAGCGGAUGAGAGAUGUGUACAGGUAUCUUUAUGUUCUUGCAAUGGAUUUAUGGUUCUGUUGGUUGUUACUGUUGCUAAAUUGCAAGUGAAAUAAUUGCUUUACUAAUAAAUCUUGUCAACUGAACUCUGCAAGAAAUUUUCCAGUUGCCUACUAUUUGAAUGUUUGCAUGUUUUGGUUUUAUGUUCUGCUAACAGUCCAUUUCAUUACCCUGUAAUGUGCCGAUAAAAAGGGAAAAAGGAAGAAAGAAAAUCUAAAAUUUAACAUUUGACGUUAGCUUUGUUGCACCUUUUUUCUCAUUGAGUGUUCUAUUUCUUUAUGUUAUCAGUAUCUCCGUUCCUUUCAUGGUAGUGUUUAUGUUCCAUAUUUCCUUGUUUUGUAUUGGUGCCUCUCUUCUGGUUUAUUUGUAAGACAGCUCAUUAUAUCUAAAAUGUCAUGAGAAAUGAUGUUGUUUAAAAUAGAGAGAACACAUUUCAGCAUUUGCAUUGUUUCUCUUUGACAUGAGUUAAUGUAUUAUCUUGUGAUUAUAUGUUGGUGGUUUUAUAGUAAUCAAUUGGUAGUGAAUUAUUGUUACAUUUAUAGCAUGCAUCAAAUGUUAUUUUGAUUUUUAUCUUGUCUCCCUCAUCCAUAGGCAUAUGGUGUAUUCUAAAGAAUCAUUCAGUUUUUGGGUGUUUUUCACCAUUCAUAUUUUUGGUUGGUUAUAAUAGACAUUGAAUGGUUCCUCAUUAAUUUAAAAAUUUUCCAGGGAGUGCCUUAAGCUUAUUCUACACGAUAAGUUUUCUUUUGCAAAGAUCUGGCUUCUUACUGCACAGUUUGAAAUAAGACAGCUCAAUCUCAAGGGUGCGCGGCAAAUUUUGGGAAUUGCUAUUGGAAAGGCACCUAA
Long non-coding RNA from Gossypium raimondii (Peruvian cotton), 2938 nucleotides. RefSeq lists it as uncharacterized. NCBI's taxonomy places the organism in Eukaryota, Viridiplantae, Streptophyta, Magnoliopsida, Malvales, Malvaceae. The record is from RefSeq and is a predicted model, not a curated record. The transcript has 8 exons.